AUUGGAGUCUGGAAUGAAUGGUUUGAUGAGAAAUUGACUUUCUUUAUAUUAAAUAUAAAAUUUAUCUUUUGAGUCAAAAGACUUAAUUUUUGGUAUAGGACGAGAAGACCCUAUAGAAUUUCAUCAUUCUAUAAAUAAUUAUUUAUUUGUAAAUAAUUUUUUUUUAUUUAUAGAAUGAUUUUGUUGGGGUGACAAAAAAAAAUUAAUAACUUUUUUUCAUUAUUUCAUUAAUUUAUGAGUUUUUGAUCCUUUAUUAUGGAAAUAAGACUAAAUUACCUUAGGGAUAACAGCGUUAUUAUUUUAGAGAGUUCUUAUCGAUAGAAUAGUUUGCGACCUCGAUGUUGGAUUAAAAUUAGUUUCAGGGGUAAAAGAUUGAUUAUCUAGGUCUGUUCGACC
RNAcentral lists this ribosomal RNA (396 nucleotides) under Criocoris crassicornis. Its description in RNAcentral is "partial large subunit ribosomal RNA". Lineage: Eukaryota; Metazoa; Arthropoda; Insecta; Hemiptera; Miridae. The record is from RNAcentral.